GUCGAGAAUCUUUCACAAUGGGGGCAACCCUGAUGGAGCGACGCCGCGUGGAGGAUAAGGUCUUCGGAUUGUAAACUCCUGUCAUGCGUGAACAAGGUUGCUUGGUUAAUACCUGGGCAAAUUGAUGGUAACGCAAGAGGAAGAGACGGCUAACUCUGUGCCAGCAGCCGCGGUAAUACAGAGGUCUCAAGCGUUGUUCGGAAUCACUGGGCGUAAAGGGUGCGUAGGUGGCGUGGUAAGUCAGAUGUGAAAGCCCGGGGCUCAACCUCGGAACUGCAUCCGAUACUGCCAUGCUAGAGUACGGGAGAGGUGACUAGAAUUCUCGGUGUAGCAGUGAAAUGCGUAGAUAUCGAGAGGAAUACCAAAGGCGUAGGCAGGUCACUGGACAGUUACUGACACUGAGGCACGAAGGCCAGGGGAGCGAACGGGAUUAGAAACCCUUGUAGUCC
This 449-nucleotide ribosomal RNA is filed under the name uncultured bacterium. RNAcentral describes it as "partial 16S ribosomal RNA". It matches the Rfam family "Bacterial small subunit ribosomal RNA", at positions 354 to 796 of the family's 1533-position model. The record is from RNAcentral.